RNAcentral lists this ribosomal RNA (644 nucleotides) under Salmonella enterica. RNAcentral describes it as "partial 23S ribosomal RNA". It matches the Rfam family "Bacterial large subunit ribosomal RNA", at positions 1292 to 1919 of the family's 2925-position model. Lineage: Bacteria; Pseudomonadati; Pseudomonadota; Gammaproteobacteria; Enterobacterales; Enterobacteriaceae. The record is from RNAcentral.
GAAUGCUGACAUAAGUAACGAUAAAGCGGGUGAAAAGCCCGCUCGCCGGAAGACCAAGGGUUCCUGUCCAACGUUAAUCGGGGCAGGGUGAGUCGACCCCUAAGGCGAGGCCGAAAGGCGUAGUCGAUGGGAAACGGGUUAAUAUUCCCGUACUUGGUGUUACUGCGAAGGGGGGACGGAGAAGGCUAUGUUGGCCGGGCGACGGUUGUCCCGGUUUAAGCGUGUAGGUGUGUGUUCCAGGUAAAUCCGGUUCACUUUAACACUGAGGCGUGACGACGAGGCACUACGGUGCUGAAGCAACAAAUGCCCUGCUUCCAGGAAAAGCCUCUAAGCAUCAGGUAACAUCAAAUCGUACCCCAAACCGACACAGGUGGUCAGGUAGAGAAUACCAAGGCGCUUGAGAGAACUCGGGUGAAGGAACUAGGCAAAAUGGUGCCGUAACUUCGGGAGAAGGCACGCUGACACGUAGGUGAAGUGAUUUACUCAUGGAGCUGAAGUCAGUCGAAGAUACCAGCUGGCUGCAACUGUUUAUUAAAAACACAGCACUGUGCAAACACGAAAGUGGACGUAUACGGUGUGACGCCUGCCCGGUGCCGGAAGGUUAAUUGAUGGGGUCAGCGCAAGCGAAGCUCCUGAUCGAAGCC